Molecule: ribosomal RNA, 498 nt
Filed under: Paenibacillus amylolyticus
Lineage: Bacteria; Bacillati; Bacillota; Bacilli; Caryophanales; Paenibacillaceae
Description: bacterial SSU rRNA
Rfam family: Bacterial small subunit ribosomal RNA
Source: RNAcentral
ACAAUGGCGGGCAUGCCUAUACAUGCAAGUCGAGCGGACUUGAUAGAGAAGCUUGCUUCUCUGAUACGUUAGCGGCGGACGGGUGAGUAACACGUAGGCAACCUGCCCUCAAGUUUGGGACAACUACCGGAAACGGUAGCUAAUACCGAAUAAUUGUUUUCUUCGCCUGAAGGAAACUGGAAAGACGGAGCAAUCUGUCACUUGGGGAUGGGCCUGCGGCGCAUUAGCUAGUUGGUGAGGUAACGGCUCACCAAGGCGACGAUGCGUAGCCGACCUGAGAGGGUGAUCGGCCACACUGGGACUGAGACACGGCCCAGACUCCUACGGGAGGCAGCAGUAGGGAAUCUUCCGCAAUGGGCGAAAGCCUGACGGAGCAAUGCCGCGUGAGUGAUGAAGGUUUUCGGAUCGUAAAGCUCUGUUGCCAGGGAAGAACGCUUGGGAGAGUAACUGCUCUCAAGGUGACGGUACCUGAGAAGAAAGCCCCGGCUAACUACGUGC